AUUGAACGCUGGCGGCAGGCCUAACACAUGCAAGUCGAACGAGUGGCGGACGGGUGAGUAAUGUCUGGGAAACUGCCCGAUGGAGGGGGAUCACUACUGGAAACGGUAGCUAAUACCGCAUACCAUCGGAUGUGCCCAGAUGGGAUUAGCUAGUAGGUGGGGUAACGGCUCACCUAGGCGACAAUCCCUAGCUGGUCUGAGAGGAUGACCAGCCACACUGGAACUGAGACACGGUCCAGACUCCUACGGGAGGCAGCAGUAGGGAAUAUGGCACGAUAGGCGCAAGACUGAUGCAGCCAUGCAGAGUGUAUGAAGAAGGCCUUAGGAUUGUAAAGUACUUUAAGCGAGGAGGCGUUACUCGCAGAAGAAGCAUGGGCUAACUCCGUGCAAGAAGCCGCGGGAAUUC
Molecule: ribosomal RNA, 406 nt
Filed under: uncultured bacterium
Lineage: Bacteria
Description: partial 16S ribosomal RNA
Rfam family: Bacterial small subunit ribosomal RNA
Source: RNAcentral